Molecule: ribosomal RNA, 163 nt
Filed under: uncultured Saccharomyces
Lineage: Eukaryota; Fungi; Ascomycota; Saccharomycetes; Saccharomycetales; Saccharomycetaceae
Description: partial 26S ribosomal RNA
Rfam family: Eukaryotic large subunit ribosomal RNA
Source: RNAcentral
AAACCAACCGGGAUUGCCUUAGUAACGGGGAGUGAAGCGGCAAAAGCUCAAAUUUGAAAUGUGGUACCUUCGGUUCCCGAGUUGUAAUUUGAGGGGGGUGAUUAGGGGGCCGUCGGCCCAAUUUCCUUGGAACCGGCGCUUAGAGAGGAGAGAAUCCUCGGGG